GUCAUUAUCGCAUUCACACAUGCUGUGCAGACAGAGCUAGAAUGGCAGACAAACAUCAACAACCCGGUCUUCCUUCAUGGUAUAGUAAUACUUUUUUAAAGUUUUCUCGCUGGUAAAUGACACAUGAUGUAGCCCAGUAGUUCCCAGUGCUCGCACACAUAUUUUGCAUGUCUCGUUUAGUUAACACACCUGAUUUAGAUGACCAACUCGAACUACGUGAAUGAACUGUGUUCCAAUCUACAUGAUCCCUACACCGUGUUCAUUGCCCCCUACUCCCUGAGCAGGGGGUUACUUCACUUUGGAACAUGUACUGGAAUUGGGAACCGCUGUUGUAACCUAUUCUAUUGUAGUAAUGUUGUCUCUGAUAUGAUAUUCUGGUCUGUGAGCGUAUGCGUUCACGGGGCGUGGCUUUGGACAGCGAUUGCAGGACGUUGACUUUCAGUGCUAUUAGGCUCAUCUCUUAAUAAAGUUCCAGGCAAGCCCCUUUUAUUCACUCUCCAGGCGCCAAUAUUUACUCACAAUUGAUGUUUGGCAAUCAGCAGCACACAGACAGACGUGCAGCACUGAGGCUUCAACAAGCAGAUCUUCUGCAUCUGUAUACUCCUUUGGCUCUUUGAGAUCAUCUUCUGCACAUUCAUAGUCUGUUCCAAACUUCAAGAUGAGUUCCUUUGAUGGUGGGGCUUUUAGUUGUGCAGGGCCGAAGCUAUGGAACUCUGUACCUUUGCACAUUUGCCAGCUGGAUUCUGUUUCCCAUUUUAAAGUUCAGAUAAAAACUUAUUUGUUUAGAAUUCCUUUUAAUUUGUUUAGAUUUUCUUGUUUAAUUUUUUUUUUUAUAAUGCUUGCAUUUGAAAAAUGGAUCUCCGCAAAGGUUUGGUGAACUUGGUGUGUGUUAAAAUGAGCAAGACCUAAUGAAAUUGAAAAAGUGCUAAUAACUUUUGUUUACAUUAGCCUAUGAAACUGAUGUUGAUUGAUUCCUUGGAUCAUGCUAAGAAUAUCGAUACCAAUUAUCCAAUAAUUGACUGAAUUUCCUGUCUGCCAUUUUUAAUUGUUAAAAAAAACUUUUUCAAACUCUUCAUA
Carassius gibelio (silver crucian carp) is the source of this 1077-nucleotide long non-coding RNA. RefSeq lists it as uncharacterized. The transcript is spliced from 4 exons. The record is from RefSeq and is a predicted model, not a curated record. Lineage: Eukaryota; Metazoa; Chordata; Actinopteri; Cypriniformes; Cyprinidae.